RNAcentral lists this ribosomal RNA (906 nucleotides) under uncultured organism. Its description in RNAcentral is "bacterial SSU rRNA". It matches the Rfam family "Bacterial small subunit ribosomal RNA", at positions 42 to 934 of the family's 1533-position model. The record is from RNAcentral.
GCAGGCCUCAUACAUGCAAGUCGAGCGGAAAGGCCCUUCGGGGGUAUCGAGCGGCGAACGGGUGAGUAACAGGUGGGUAAUCUGCCUUCUGGAGGGGGAUAACGGCUGGAAACGGCCGCUGAUACCCCGUAAGGUUGCAGAGCCUAUGGGCUUUGCAAAGAAAGGGGCCCUUAAAGCCCCGCCGGAAGAUGAGCCCGCCCCCCAUUAGCUUGUUGGCGGGGUAACGGCCCACCAAGGCAACGAUGGGUAGCCGAGCUGAGAGGUUGAUCGGCCACACUGGAACUGAGACACGGUCCAGACACCUACGGGUGGCAGCAGUAGGGAAUAUUGCGCAAUGGGCGAAAGCCUGACGCAGCCAUGCCGCGUGGAUGAUGAAGGCCUUCGGGUCGUAAAGUCCUUUUCUGAGGGAAGAAAUGCCGGGGGAGGAAAUGCCUUCGACUUGACGGUACCUCAGGAAUAAGCAACGGCUAACUCCGUGCCAGCAGCCGCGGUAAUACGGAGGUUGCAAGCGUUGUUCGGAAUGACUGGGCGUAAAGGGAGUGCAGGCGGCCAGGUCAGUCUGAAGUGAAAGCCCGGGGCUCAACCCCGGAAUUGCUUUGGAUACUGCCUGGCUUGAGUGUGCGAGAGGAAAGCGGAAUUCCAGGUGUAGCGGUGAAAUGCGUAGAUAUCUGGAGGAACACCGGUGGCGAAAGCGGCUUUCUGGCGCAUAACUGACGCUGAGGCUCGAAAGCGUGGGGAGCGAACGGGAUUAGAUACCCCGGUAGUCCACGCCGUAAACGUUGUGCACUAGGUGUGGGAGGUAUCGACCCCUUCCGUGCCGGAGCUAACGCAUUAAGUGCACCGCCUGGGGAGUACGGUCGCAAGACUGAAACUCAAAGGAAUUGACGGGGGCCCGCACAAGCGGUG